This 468-nucleotide ribosomal RNA is filed under the name uncultured bacterium. Its description in RNAcentral is "partial 16S ribosomal RNA". It matches the Rfam family "Bacterial small subunit ribosomal RNA", at positions 28 to 507 of the family's 1533-position model. The record is from RNAcentral.
GACGAACGCUGGCGGCGUGCUUAACACAUGCAAGUCGAACGGAAAGGCCCUGCUUUUGUGGGGUGACCGAGUGGCGAACGGGUGAGUAACACGUGAGUAACCUGCCCUUGUUUUUGGGAUAACUUCAGGUAACUGGGGUUACUACCGGACAGGAGCCCCCGUAGCGUGGAGGGGGUUGGAAAGUCUCGGCGGGUGGGGAUGGACUCGCGGCUAACCAGCUUGUUGGUGGGGUAGUGGCUUACCAAGGCUUUGACGGGUAGCCGGCCUGGGAGGGUGACCGGCCACAUGGGGACUGAGAUAGGGCCCAGACGCCUACAGGGGGCAACAGUGGGGAGUAUUGCACAAUGGUCGGGAGCCGGAUGCGGCAGCGCCGCGGUCGGGAAGACGGCUUGCGGGGUGAAAACCGCUUUCGCCUGUGACGAAGCGGGAGUGACGGUAAUGGGUAAAGAAGCACCGGCUAACUACGUG